GGAGUUGUGGCUCAGAGGUAGAGUGUGUGCCUACCAUGCAUGAGACACUGAGUUCAAUCCUCAGCACCA
Molecule: transfer RNA, 69 nt
Filed under: Marmota marmota marmota (Alpine marmot)
Lineage: Eukaryota; Metazoa; Chordata; Mammalia; Rodentia; Sciuridae
Also listed under: 1 other name
Rfam family: tRNA
About the family: Transfer RNA (tRNA) molecules are approximately 80 nucleotides in length. Their secondary structure includes four short double-helical elements and three loops (D, anti-codon, and T loops). Further hydrogen bonds mediate the characteristic L-shaped molecular structure. tRNAs have two regions of fundamental functional importance: the anti-codon, which is responsible for specific mRNA codon recognition, and the 3' end, to which the tRNAs corresponding amino acid is attached (by aminoacyl-tRNA synthetases). tRNAs cope with the degeneracy of the genetic code in two manners: having more than one tRNA (with a specific anti-codon) for a particular amino acid; and 'wobble' base-pairing, i.e. permitting non-standard base-pairing at the 3rd anti-codon position.
Source: Rfam by way of RNAcentral